AAGCCUACGGGGGGCAGCAGUGGGGGAUAUUGCACAAUGGGGGGAACCCUGAUGCAGCGACGCCGCGUGGGUGAAGGAGUAUUUCGGUAUGUAAAGCCCUAUCGGCAGGGAAGAAGCAAGACGGUACCUGACUAAGAAACCCCGGCUAACUACGUGCCAGCAGCCGCGGUAAUACGUAGGGGGCGAGCGUUAUCCGGAUUCACUGGGUGUAAAGGGAGCGUAGACGGCCAAGCAAGCCAGGGGUGAAAGCCCGGGGCCCAACCCCGGGACUGGCCUUGGAACUGCUU
RNAcentral lists this ribosomal RNA (287 nucleotides) under uncultured bacterium. Its description in RNAcentral is "partial 16S ribosomal RNA". It matches the Rfam family "Bacterial small subunit ribosomal RNA", at positions 335 to 638 of the family's 1533-position model. The record is from RNAcentral.